AUCACAGUCCAGUUCAUAAAAAUGAACACGUAGGUUCUACCCAAAGGAGUUUACAGUCAGAUCAGACUCAGGCAGCAAAUUUUAUUCUGCCUGUUUUCCAACACACCUGUAAGCUCCAGUACUGUCUUGUGACAAAUCAUAUCCUACUUUAACGUAAUAUGAAAUGCAAAGAAAAGUAUCUGAUGAUUUUUUGCAGUUGCUUGUGAUUCCCUUGUUAUCCUUCGAGAAUUUCAAAGGAAGUGGCAAUUUAAAAAAUGAGAAGUUGAGAAAAAGGAAAGAAGAAGAUGCAGUGAAGUGGCUGCACAACAGUGUAACUGGGGAUGAGGUGCAAAAAGGUAUCAGAGCUCCAGUUCCUGGAAUUCCAGCGUGACUUGAGUAAUUCAGAUUGUAUUGCAAGAAAAAGUUAGUUCUGGCAUUCCCUUGCAGAGAGUGAUUUGAAAACCUGACUCACAACCGUCCUGCAGUCUCAGAAACAAGGCGGCAGCUCCCGUCUAAAUCUACAGACAGCACUUCAUGUAUGAAUCAUUUCUUGGUGACUUGCAAAACUCUUCUGAGAUGAGAAUCAGGAACACUGCUUUAGGGAGGAAAUGGAGAUGUACAGUCAGUGUGCACAGAAGACAUGGCAAGUAGGCUCCAAAGACAGAGUAGACUUAAAAGACACCCUCCACACUAGAAUUGCCCCGGGACUCUGCUGAAGAAAAGAAGCUCUUGAGCAACUUGCAGAAUCGCCUCUUCCAUUGUUUCUGAAGAAUUCUUUUCACUGCAUUCCUCGGGUUGUCAUGAAUUGCACAACCAGCUCUUCCAGCUCGAGCAGAGCUGAACCUGAGAUCUGUAUCUUCCGACAGAACAGUCAUUAGGUUGUUACUGUGCACACGUACAUGCGUGCUAAACGAUCCUUAAAGAUCCUUAGAGUUAAGAAAACUUGAAAGUCUUGAAAGUAAGAUGAAGUAGGAACACGCCAACCCACCUUGCCUGUUUACUAUGAGGCAGUCUUUAAUUCCAUACUAAUUUUAUGAUUUCAUUUCAUUUCAUUUCAUUUCAUUUCAUUUCAUUUCUCUAAUGUAUUUUGAAUCCAGUCGUAAGAAUACAGUGAAAGCAUGAGCUAUAUGUAAUGUGAAAUAUUUGUUUUCACUAGCCCCCUUCAGCUGCUUAGUGGAGCAUGCUAAGGUCUGGAGCUUUUUGGGAUCAUUGCCAUUAAACUAAGUAGCAAUGACUUUUAAUUCAAUAAACCAGUUUUUUAUUCAGCAACUUUUAAACCUGCCAGGUUCUCGUGAAAAAUGCUGAAUGAGAGGUUCCAACAGUCGUUCCAAACAUGUAGGUCAAUUGGGGGAAAAAUUAAUUUUCUUGUUCUAAAAAUCAGGCUUGAAUGCAACGAUUUGUGUAUUUCUUGCAUGACAUGGUCUAGUUAGUUUUCCAGUUAUAUGAUGAGGGAUAAAGAAGGAGUGAAUAAUAGGAAAGUAGAGCCAACUAAAUGUCCUCCACACAACUAGUAUGUAACAUUCCUUUGCUAAAAAAAGUUAGCAUUAUAUAGUUUAGGCAAAAUUCUUGGACUGUGUUAUUAGAUUUAAAAAUUAAAACAAAUAACCU
Molecule: long non-coding RNA, 1587 nt
Organism: Cygnus olor (mute swan)
Lineage: Eukaryota; Metazoa; Chordata; Aves; Anseriformes; Anatidae
Exons: 5
Source: RefSeq, a predicted model, not a curated record